RNAcentral lists this ribosomal RNA (502 nucleotides) under uncultured bacterium. RNAcentral describes it as "partial 16S ribosomal RNA". It matches the Rfam family "Bacterial small subunit ribosomal RNA", at positions 28 to 507 of the family's 1533-position model. The record is from RNAcentral.
GACGAACGCUGGCGGCGUGCCUAAUACAUGCAAGUCGAACGAACCGCGACUGAGUGCUUGCACUUGGUCAAGGUGAGUGGCGAACGGGUGAGUAACACGUGGGUAACCUACCUCAUAGUGGGGGAUAACAGUCGGAAACGACUGCUAAUACCGCAUAGGACAUAGGAUCACAUGAUCCAGUGAGGAAAGGUGGCGCAAGCUAUCGCUAAGAGAUGGACCCGCGGUGCAUUAGCUAGUUGGUAGGGUAAAGGCCUACCAAGGCGAUGAUGCAUAGCCGACCUGAGAGGGUGAUCGGCCACAUUGGGACUGAGACACGGCCCAAACUCCUACGGGAGGCAGCAGUAGGGAAUCUUCCGCAAUGGACGCAAGUCUGACGGGGCAACGCCGCGUGAGUGAAGAAGGUCUUCGGAUCGUAAAGCUCUGUUGUUAGAGAAGAACAGCGCAUAGAGUAACUGCUAUGCGUGUGACGGUAUCUAACCAGAAAGCCACGGCUAACUACGUG